GACGAACGCUGGCGGCGUGCUUAACACAUGCAAGUCAAGGGGGCCCGACGCAAUAGGGCGAACCGGACGAACGGGUGCGUAACACGUGAGCAACCUACCGAACUGUGGGGGAGUAGCCGGCCUAACGGCCGAGUAAUACCGCAUACGCUCUCAGUGAGGCAUUUCAUUGAGAGGAAACCUACGGGACAGAUCGAGGGGCUCGCGGCCUAUCAGCUAGUUGGCGAGGUAACGGCNCACCAAGGA
Molecule: ribosomal RNA, 243 nt
Filed under: uncultured bacterium
Lineage: Bacteria
Description: partial 16S ribosomal RNA
Rfam family: Bacterial small subunit ribosomal RNA
Source: RNAcentral